CCAUACCUACGGGACGCAGCAGUAGGGAAUUUUCGUCAAUGGGCGCAAGCAUGAACGAGCAAUGCCGCGUGAACGAGGAAGGUCUUCGGAUCGUAAAGUUCUGUUGAAGGGGAAAAAGAGCGGAGAGAGGAAAUGGUCUCCGAUUGAUAUUACACUUCGAGGAAGUCACGGCUAACUACGUGCCGGCAGCCGCGGUAAUACGUAGGUGGCGAGCGUUAUCCGGAAUGAUUGGGCGUAAAGGGUGCGUAGGCGGCCUGCU
RNAcentral lists this ribosomal RNA (259 nucleotides) under uncultured bacterium. RNAcentral describes it as "partial 16S ribosomal RNA". It matches the Rfam family "Bacterial small subunit ribosomal RNA", at positions 331 to 584 of the family's 1533-position model. The record is from RNAcentral.